Molecule: ribosomal RNA, 334 nt
Filed under: uncultured bacterium
Lineage: Bacteria
Description: bacterial SSU rRNA
Rfam family: Bacterial small subunit ribosomal RNA
Source: RNAcentral
GAUGAACGCUAGCGGCAGGCUUAAUACAUGCAAGUCGUACGGGAUCCGAGGUAGCAAUACUUUGGUGAGAGUGGCGCACGGGUGCGUAACACGUAUGCAACCUACCUAUAACCGGGACACAACCUCGAGAAAUUGAGGCUAAUAUCCCAUAACACUGCGAGAUGGCAUCAUUUUGCAGUUAAAACUCCGGUGGUUAUAGAUGGGCAUGCGCGACAUUAGCUAGUUGGUGAGGUAACGGCCCACCAAGGCUACGAUGUCUAGGGGUUCUGAGAGGAUUAAUCCCCCACACUGGACUGAGACACGGACCAGACUCCUACGGAGGCAGCAGUAAGGA